UACAGAGGCCCCGAGCGUUAAUCGGAAUCACUGGGCUUAAAGGGUGCGUAGGCGGGCCAGUAAGCGCUUUGUGAAAUCCCACAGCUCAACCGUGGAACCGCAGGGCGAACUGCUGGUCUUGAGGAAGCUAGAGGCUGGUAGAACGAUAGGUGGAGCGGUGGAAUGCGUAGAGAUCUAUCGGAAUGCCGAAAGUGAAGACAGCCAGCUGGGGCUUUCCUGACGCUAAAGCACGAAAGCGUGGGGAGCAAACCGG
RNAcentral lists this ribosomal RNA (253 nucleotides) under uncultured bacterium. Its description in RNAcentral is "partial 16S ribosomal RNA". It matches the Rfam family "Bacterial small subunit ribosomal RNA", at positions 524 to 776 of the family's 1533-position model. The record is from RNAcentral.